This 253-nucleotide ribosomal RNA is filed under the name uncultured bacterium. RNAcentral describes it as "partial 16S ribosomal RNA". It matches the Rfam family "Bacterial small subunit ribosomal RNA", at positions 524 to 776 of the family's 1533-position model. The record is from RNAcentral.
UACGGGGGGGGUAAGCGUUGUUCGGAAUUACUGGGCGUAAAGGGCUCGUAGGCGGCCAACUAAGUCAUACGUGAAAUCCCUCAGCUUAACUGGGGAACUGCGUGUGAUACUGGAUGGCUUGGAUUUGGGAGAGGGAUGCGGAAUUCCAGGUGUAGCGGUGAAAUGCGUAGAUAUUGGGAGGAACACCGGUGGCGAAGGCGGCUACCUGGACCGGUUCUGACGCUGAUGCGCGAAAGCGUGGGUAGCGAACAGG